UACCCGCUGAACUUAAGCAUAUCAAUAAGCGGAGGAAAAGAAACCAACAGGGAUUGCCCUAGUAACGGCGAGUGAAGCGGCAACAGCUCAAAUUUGAAAUCUGGCUCUUUCAGGGUCCGAGUUGUAAUUUGCAGAGGGCGCUUUGGCUUUGGCAGCGGUCCAAGUUCCUUGGAACAGGACGUCACAGAGGGUGAGAAUCCCGUACGUGGUCGCUAGCUAUUGCCGUGUAAAGCCCCUUCGACGAGUCGAGUUGUUUGGGAAUGCAGCUCUAAAUGGGAGGUAAAUUUCUUCUAAAGCUAAAUACUGGCCAGAGACCGAUAGCGCACAAGUAGAGUGAUCGAAAGAUGAAAAGCACUUUGGAAAGAGAGUCAAACAGCACGUGAAAUUGUUGAAAGGGAAGCGCUUGCAGCCAGACUUGCUUGCAGUUGCUCAUCCGGGCUUUUGCCCGGUGCACUCUUCUGCAGGCAGGCCAGCAUCAGUUUGGGCGGUGGGAUAAAGGUCUCUGUCACGUACCUCUCUUCGGGGAGGCCUUAUAGGGGAGACGACAUACCACCAGCCUGGACUGAGGUCCGCGCAUUCGCUAGGAUGCUGGCGUAAUGGCUGUAAGCGGCCCGUCUUGAAACACGGACCAAGGAGUCUAACAUCUAUGCGAGUGUUUGGGUGUCAAGCCCGAACGCGUAAUGAAAGUGAACGGAGGUGGGAACCCGCAAGGGUGCACCAUCGACCGAUCCUGAUGUCUUCGGAAGGAUUUGAGUAAGAGCAUGGCUGUUGGGACCCGAAAGAUGGUGAACUAUGCUUGAAUAGGGUGAAGCCAGAGGAAACUCUGGUGGAGGCUCGCAGCGGUUCUGACGUGCAAAUCGAUCGUCAAAUUUGGGCAUAGGGGCGAAAGACUAAUCGAACUAUCUAGUAGCUGGUUCCUGCCGAAGUUUCCCUCAGGAUAGCAGUAACGUAUUCAGUUUUAUGAGGUAAAGCGAAUGAUUAGAGGCCUGGGGGUUGAAACAACCUUCACCUAUUCUCAAACUUUAAAUAUGUAAGAAGUGUUUGUUACUUAAUUGAACGUACACAUUUGAAUGAAACGUUAUUAG
RNAcentral lists this ribosomal RNA (1085 nucleotides) under Pyrenophora chaetomioides. RNAcentral's name for it is "LSU rRNA". It matches the Rfam family "Eukaryotic large subunit ribosomal RNA", at positions 22 to 1126 of the family's 3401-position model. Lineage: Eukaryota; Fungi; Ascomycota; Dothideomycetes; Pleosporales; Pleosporaceae. The record is from RNAcentral. RNAcentral also lists the same sequence under 2 other names.